UACGUAGGGCGCAAGCGUUGUCCGGAAUUAUUGGGCGUAAAGAGCUCGUAGGCGGUCUGUCGCGUCUGCUGUGAAAGCCCGGGGCUCAACCCCGGGUCUGCAGUGGGUACGGGCAGACUAGAGUGCAGUAGGGGAGACUGGAAUUCCUGGUGUAGCGGUGAAAUGCGCAGAUAUCAGGAGGAACACCGAUGGCGAAGGCAGGUCUCUGGGCUGUUACUGACGCUGAGGAGCGAAAGCAUGGGGAGCGAACAGG
Molecule: ribosomal RNA, 253 nt
Filed under: uncultured bacterium
Lineage: Bacteria
Description: partial 16S ribosomal RNA
Rfam family: Bacterial small subunit ribosomal RNA
Source: RNAcentral